RNAcentral lists this small nucleolar RNA (93 nucleotides) under Candida albicans. Its description in RNAcentral is "Small nucleolar RNA snR57". It matches the Rfam family "Small nucleolar RNA snR57". From Rfam's summary of the family: snR57 is a member of the C/D class of snoRNA which contain the C (UGAUGA) and D (CUGA) box motifs. Most of the members of the box C/D family function in directing site-specific 2'-O-methylation of substrate RNAs. The record is from Rfam by way of RNAcentral. RNAcentral also lists the same sequence under 1 other name. Lineage: Eukaryota; Fungi; Ascomycota; Pichiomycetes; Serinales; Debaryomycetaceae.
AACUUGAUGAUUAAAACUAUUGAUGUAACAUUAUUACUGAGGAUGUACAUGCAGGAUAAAUAGUUAAGGAAUUCUUCGUUUAUGAAUUUAGAU